Molecule: long non-coding RNA, 252 nt
Organism: Haliotis rubra (blacklip abalone)
Lineage: Eukaryota; Metazoa; Mollusca; Gastropoda; Lepetellida; Haliotidae
Exons: 3
Source: RefSeq, a predicted model, not a curated record
UAGUCAAAGAUGUUUGAUUCAUUUUUCUAUCUGUUUGGUAUUGUUGUCGUCAAAAUUUGCAUUCCAGCGGCAGGCCUGAAUCUGUCCCUCGGCCAUGGUGCAGAAAUACAAUCAUAUGUUCUUCCACGCAUCUGAUCCAUCCUGUCAGUAGUCUUCCCGUAGCUUCCUCUACACAGCUUUAUCUGAAGCCCACUUGCCAUCAUUAUGGAUAUCUCCUUUAGAUUAAACAUAACGUCUAGCAAUAGUUUUCAG